Non-coding RNA from Onthophagus taurus, 330 nucleotides. The record is from RefSeq and is a predicted model, not a curated record. Lineage: Eukaryota; Metazoa; Arthropoda; Insecta; Coleoptera; Scarabaeidae.
UCUCUAACCUCUACUCAUGGAUGUAAUUGCAAUAUUCCCGUUUAUUUCUUGCUAUAAUUAAUAUACUAAUUAGCUUAAACUAUAUAGGUAUUACACAACACAUGACUGAGACUAAUAAAAUGACUGUUUCAUCUCCAUUCUUUGAAAGGAGAAGAUUUAAUUAAUAGUCUGACUGAAGGAAUAGACAUCCAUUCAAAGCUAAUGAGUAUAAGUCCUCUUCCUAUUGCAAAAACUAUUCUAUGCUGGAAAAUUUUGGUUUUUGAGCAAUAAUCUACAGGUAAUUCAAAUUCGACCAACACCAUUGGGAUCUCAGAAACCAUAAGAGAUACA